Molecule: non-coding RNA, 2239 nt
Filed under: Anilany helenae
Lineage: Eukaryota; Metazoa; Chordata; Amphibia; Anura; Microhylidae
Description: partial contains 12S ribosomal RNA, tRNA-Val, and 16S ribosomal RNA
Rfam family: Bacterial large subunit ribosomal RNA (bases 1112-1959)
Source: RNAcentral
UUUGGUCCUAGCCUUAUACUCAACUAUUACUUAACUUACACAUGCAAGUAUCUGCACACCCGUGAGAAAGCCCCUACCCCUCUAGAAAGGUAAAGGAGCCGGUAUCAGGAACAAAUAUUUUUCCCACGACACCUAGUUUCGCCACACCUCCAAAGGUAUUCAGCAGUGAUCAACAUUGUCCAUAAGCGCAAGCUUGAGCCAGUUAAAGUAAAUAGAGCCGGCCAAUUCGGUGCCAGCCGCCGCGGCUACCCCGCUUGGCUCAAGUUGAUUCUUUCGGCGUUAAGCGUGGUUAAAGUAACAUAAAUAUACUAGAAUUAAACCAACCCCAAGUUGUGAUACACUUGCCCAAAGAAAUUCAUAAACGAAAGUUAUUCUAUAAAAUACUUGAACCCACGACAGUUGAGAUACAAACUGGGAUUAGGCACCCCACUAUGCCCAACCGUAAAAUAUUUAUUCACACCAUCCCCCGCCAGGAAAUUACGAGCCACCUUAAAACCCAAAGGACUUGACGGUGCCCCAUCCACCUAGAGGAGCCUGUUCUAUAAUCGAUACCCCCCGAUAUACCUCACCACCCCUUGCCCACAGUCUGUAUACCUCCGUCGCAAGCUUACCAUGUAAACGCCAGUAAGCUAAAAGAUAUUUACCAUCAACACGUCAGGUCAAGGUGCAACUAACGGAGUGGAAAGAAAUGGGCUACAAUUUCUAUAAUAGAAUAUACAAAAACCUACAUGCAACAUAGCCUUAAGGCGGAUUUAGUAGUAAAAAGAAAAUAGAAUAUCCUUUUUAAUCAGGCACUGAGGCGCGUACACACCGCCCGUCACCCUCUUCAAAUAUUACUUAUAAGAAGAGGCAAGUCGUAACACGGUAAGCGUACUGGAAGGUGCGCUUGGAUAACCAAAAUGUAGCUUACUCAAAGCACUUCGCUUACACCAAAGAGACGUCUAAAUCUAGACCAUUUUGAGCCCCUAACUUUAGCCCCCCACCUUAUUUUUUCCACCUAAACCCAAUAAAACAUUUUUACAAUUUAGUAAAGGCGAUUAAAAAAUAAGUAAGAGCCAUAGAUACAGUACCGCAAGGGAAAUAUGAAAUAUUACUUAAAGCAUAAAAUAGCAAAGACUUAAUCUUGUACCUUUUGCAUCAUGGUCUAGCCAGUAUAAUCAAGCAAAACGAACUUACAGUUUGACACCCCGAAACUAAGCGAGCUACUUUAGAACAGCAUAUAGCGCCAACCCAUCCAUAUUGCAAAAUGGUGGGAAGAUUCUAAAGUAGAGGUGACACACCUACCGAGCUUAGAGAUAGCUGGUUAUUCAGAAAAAGGAUUUUAGUCCUACCUUAAGCCCAACUAGCAACUACUAGACACCCCCAAUGCUUAAAAGUCAUUCAAAUAAGGUUCAGCCUAUUUGAACAAGGAAACAGCCUAACAUCUUGGGUACUAACAUAUAACAUGACCAAGUAGGCCUAAGAGCAGCCAACUUCCAAAAAGCGUCCAAGCUUCCCCAUAACAAUUAUUUAUACCACCACCUUAAAACAACCCACAACCACCACUGAAUGAUCUUAUAUACAUAUAAGAAACAUAAUGCUAGAACUAGUAAUAAGAACUGAAAUUCUCUAAAAUGUAAAUGUGAGCCAAAAUGGACUGCCUUUGGCACUUACCCGCCUAUAUUUAUGUAGUUACCUCAACAAGAAAACUCUACAACACUUAACGUUAACCUCACACUAGAACAUUUCCAGAAAGAUUAAAAGGAGAGGAAGGAACUCGGCAAAUAUCAGCCCCGCCUGUUUACCAAAAACAUCGCCUCUUGUAAGACAUAAGAGGUCCGACCUGCCCAGUGACACUAGUUAAACGGCCGCGGUACCCUAACCGUGCAAAGGUAGCACAAUCACUUGUUCUUUAAAUCAGGACUAGUAUGAACGGCCACACGAGGGCUAUACUGUCUCCCUCCCCCAAUCAAUGAAACUGAUCUACCCGUGAAGAAGCGGGCAUAUCCUAAUAAGACGAGAAGACCCCAUGGAACUUAAAACUAAUAUCACUGCCACAACACACCACAUAAGCAACAUGAAUACUAGUCUUUCGGCUGGGGCGACCACGGAGAAAAACAAAACCUCCAUGAUGAAAGGCUACCCCCUAAUCUUAGACCCACCAAUCCAAGAAUCAAUAAAUUGACUAUUUGACCCAACACUUGAUCAACGAACCAAGCUACCCUGGGGAUAACAGCGCAAUCCAUUUCAAGAGACCCCA